Molecule: ribosomal RNA, 290 nt
Filed under: uncultured bacterium
Lineage: Bacteria
Description: partial 16S ribosomal RNA
Rfam family: Bacterial small subunit ribosomal RNA
Source: RNAcentral
AUUGAACGCUGGCGGCGUGCCUAACACAUGCAAGUCGAGCGGUAACAGGUGUAGCAAUACAUGCUGACGAGCGGCGAACGGGUGAGUAAUGCUUCGGAAUCUACCCAAUGGUGGGGAAUAACCGAGCCGAAAGGUUGGCUAAUACCGCAUACGUCCCACGGGAGAAAGCAGGGGAUCGCAAGACCUUGCGCCAAUGGAUGAGCCGAAGUCGGAUUAGCUAGNGGUAGGUAACGGCCUACCAAGCGACGAUCCGUAGCUGGUCUGAGAGGACGACCAGCCACACUGGGACU